AUUGAACGCUGGCGGCAGGCCUAACACAUGCAAGUCGAACGGUAACAGGAAGCAGCUUGCUGCUUCGCUGACGAGUGGCGGACGGGUGAGUAAUGUCUGGGAAACUGCCUGAUGGAGGGGGAUAACUACUGGAAACGGUAGCUAAUACCGCAUAACGUCGCAAGACCAAAGAGGGGGACCUUCGGGCCUCUUGCCAUCGGAUGUGCCCGGAUGGGAUUAGCUAGGAGGUGGGGUAAAGGCUCACCUAGGCGACGAUCCCUAGCUGGUCUGGGAGAUGGACCAGCCACACUGGAACUGAGAAACGGUCCAGACUCCUACGGGAGGCAGCAGUGGGGAAUAUUGCACAAUGGGCGCAAGCCUGAUGCAGCCAUGCCGCGUGUAUGAAGAAGGCCUUCGGGUUGUAAAGUACUUUCAGCGGGGAGGAAGGCGAUAAGGUUAAUAACCUUGUCGAUUGACGUUACCCGCAGAAGAAGCACCGGCUAACUCCGUGCCAGCCGCCGCAGUAA
This 506-nucleotide ribosomal RNA is filed under the name uncultured bacterium. RNAcentral describes it as "partial 16S ribosomal RNA". It matches the Rfam family "Bacterial small subunit ribosomal RNA", at positions 30 to 523 of the family's 1533-position model. The record is from RNAcentral.